CUUGUGUCGCACUAGGAGCUAAAGUCAUAGGAUUAGCUGCAGCAUUCUUAUGUAACUCAGCUCCUUAGAAGACAGGAAGUGGUGCCAGGCUGCCAGUUAGGAAUAACAGCCUCACAUGGCACCCAGGCUGGAGCAGCAGUGAGAGAGACGUGGGCCCUCGGGGAACACAGUGCAGUGUGCUACUGCUGCCUAUAGCACACUGCACUGCCACAAAUAGCCAUACGGGCUAUUUUUAGCUCUCCCAUACUGCAGCAGCGCUACCUGGACAAAGAGACAUAACCCCAAACUGUUCAAGCCACAGGGAGAGCACGCUUAGGAUGUCAGCUUGCUCCGCUCCCCCGCUCAUUCCGUCUGCAGACCAGGGACGCUGUCCUCACUGCUUCCCCCUCGACCAGCAGCCUCAGACUGGGCCGGGCAUUGGACCUUGAUGGAGAACCCUACAGAAGUCCAAGAGAGACAAAACAGUCAGAAAGAAGCUGAAAUCUGGUUAUUUUGGAUAAUCUGACAAAAUGAUAAAAACUCCAGUAUCUUGAGCUAAGGUUCAUAGAUGCUGCACGAGGAGGUUUCUUUGUGUCUAAUAUGCUAAAGGCCUGAUUUUUUUUGCUUUUGGCCCGGUUGAAUCACAUGUGAAAGGUUGAAAGUCUCCCCAGUUGAGAGACAAAGUUAAACCCCUGGCUUAAUGUCUGGAGCUCUCUGAUACUUGACCAGCGCUGCAGCUGCCACACCUGCUGCCAGCAGCUGUCUUUUUAAACAAAUUCACACCACCAACUCGCAGGCAAAAGUCCUGCAUCUUAAAUUACAAAAGGCUUCGUCUUAGUAUCAUUUUUCCCAGUCAUUUAUCUUCUGUGUAUGACAGCCAAGGAGCAGACCUUUUAAUUUAAGCACUUUAAGUCAUAUCAGAUAUAAUGAGACUCUUUCUUGCCUAAUUUUGCAUUAGGAUGACUCAGUAUUCAGCGCUGGCUCUGUGAUCUGACAGACAAAAAAAAAAAAAAGCAUUAUUUUCACCUAUUGUACCAUAAGUUUUGUUUGAAUACAUUGGUGUUCAUUAUAUUAAAUGCAUAAACUUGUAUUCCUAAUUCAAGGCAACAGAAAUGUGUAUUAUAAUAAGUAUAAUAAUGUUACCACAAUGUGAUCUUUUAAGUGAGGCUACAUUUGAACCAGAUUUCUGAGCAAACCAGAGUUAACAUUCACACAGCUGUGUCCCACAGUCCUGGACCACCUUAAAUAUAUCUGAUGCCGAAAGAUAAAUUGUUAAUAAAUAAUUCACUAAUGCUUUCCAGAUCAGUUAUAAGCCAUGAAUUAAAACCGCUUGGGCUACCAGCUUGUGGAAAAACC
This is a long non-coding RNA of Seriola aureovittata, 1335 nucleotides long. RefSeq lists it as uncharacterized. The record is from RefSeq and is a predicted model, not a curated record. The transcript is spliced from 2 exons. NCBI's taxonomy places the organism in Eukaryota, Metazoa, Chordata, Actinopteri, Carangiformes, Carangidae.